GACGAACGCUGGCGGCGUGCUUAACACAUGCAAGUCGAACGGAAAGGCCCUGCUUUUGUGGGGUGCUCGAGUGGCGAACGGGUGAGUAACACGUGAGUAACCUGCCCUUGACUUUGGGAUAACUUCAGGAAACUGGGGCUAAUACCGGAUAGGAGCUCCUGCUGCAUGGUGGGGGUUGGAAAGUUUCGGCGGUUGGGGAUGGACUCGCGGCUUAUCAGCUUGUUGGUGGGGUAGUGGCUUACCAAGGCUUUGACAGGUAGCCGGCCUGAGAGGGUGACCGGCCACCUUGGGCCUGAGAUACGGCCCAGACUCCUACGGGAGGCAGCAGUGGGGAAUAUUGCACAAUGGGCGGAAGCCUGAUGCAGCAACGCCGCGUGCGGGAUGACGGCCUUCGGGUUGUAAACCGCUUUCGCCUGUGACGAAGCGUGAGUGACGGUAAUGGGUAAAGAAGCACCGGCUAACUACGUG
Molecule: ribosomal RNA, 468 nt
Filed under: uncultured bacterium
Lineage: Bacteria
Description: partial 16S ribosomal RNA
Rfam family: Bacterial small subunit ribosomal RNA
Source: RNAcentral